GUAGGGUGUGCCUGUAAUCCCUACUACUGGGGUUGCUCAAGGUAGAUAGAUUCCUGGAGCUCUAGAGUUCUAAGUUGCAGUGGGCUAAGCCAAUUGGGCAUCUGUACUAAAUCUAGCAUCAGUAUGGUGGUCCUCUAAGGGUAGAAGGGUCACCAGACUGCAUAAGGAGGGGCAAACCAGCCCAGGUCAGAAAUGAAGCAAGUCAAAGCUUCUUUGCCAGUCUUUAGUGAAAUAGGGCUUAUGAAUGGCUUCUGAACUCCCAGAUUGGGAGACCUAUUCU
RNAcentral lists this signal recognition particle RNA (280 nucleotides) under Vombatus ursinus (common wombat). RNAcentral describes it as "Metazoan signal recognition particle RNA (ENSVURG00010019639.1)". It matches the Rfam family "Metazoan signal recognition particle RNA". From Rfam's summary of the family: The signal recognition particle (SRP) is a universally conserved ribonucleoprotein. It is involved in the co-translational targeting of proteins to membranes. The record is from RNAcentral. Lineage: Eukaryota; Metazoa; Chordata; Mammalia; Diprotodontia; Vombatidae.